CACACCGCCCGUCACACCAUGAAAGUCGGUUGUACCAGAAGUCGCUGCGCUAACCGUAAGGGGGCAGGCGCCCAAGGUAUGGCUGAUGAUUGGGUG
RNAcentral lists this ribosomal RNA (96 nucleotides) under uncultured bacterium. Its description in RNAcentral is "partial 16S ribosomal RNA". It matches the Rfam family "Bacterial small subunit ribosomal RNA", at positions 1386 to 1482 of the family's 1533-position model. The record is from RNAcentral.